UUGAGUUUUUGUUAUUUCUUCUCUCAAGUUAGCUCUGAUUAUGCCUGCUGAGUGAAAAAUUUGUAUUUGCCGACAGAAAUAGGAACCAUACCACGUGCACUUCCACUCAGCAAAUGCUCCAAUACAUCACAAAGAUUUGCUCAACCCACCUUCAGAGGCCAAAUUGAGCAUGUUAUUUUCUGUUUAGAUCUGAUCCUGCAGACUAUCAGUCAGGAGUGUUUCUCAAUCUCUGAUUAAAACAAGGCCUACAAAGCUGCAAGUGUUCAUGCACAGUCUCAUUAGAGGACUGGAUGGAGUGACCCUGGUCUUCUAGCACAAAGCUGUGAGUGAACUUCAAAUAUGAGAGUGCAUCAAUCAAAUUCAAGCAAGGCUUUUAUCACUGGGAAAUCCCUCCAACUGGGACUAACAGGACGAUUUGACGAUUUUAAAAUUGACCUAUGCUAAUUUCACUCCCUCCAUACCCAAAACUGAAGAGGAAAACUGAUGGAAAAUAGCAAUGGCUG
Strigops habroptila (Kakapo) is the source of this 503-nucleotide long non-coding RNA. RefSeq lists it as uncharacterized. Lineage: Eukaryota; Metazoa; Chordata; Aves; Psittaciformes; Psittacidae. The transcript is spliced from 3 exons. The record is from RefSeq and is a predicted model, not a curated record.